UGGGGAAUUUUGCACAAUGGGCGCAAGCCUGAUGCAGCGACGCCGCGUGAGGGAUGAAGGCCUUCGGGUUGUAAACCUUUUUCGCUCAUGGUCAAGCCGCAGCUUUGGGUUGUGGUGAGGGUAGUGGGUAAAGAAGCGCCGGCUAACUACGUGCCAGCAGCCGCGGUAAUACGUAGGGCGCGAGCGUUGUCCGGUAUUAUUGGGCGUAAAGGGCUUGUAGGCGGUUGGCCGCGUCUGCCGUGAAAUCCUCUGGCUUAACUGGGGGCGUGCGGUGGGUACGGGUUGACAUGAGUGCGGUAGGGGAGACUGGAAUUCCUGGUGUAGCGAUGGAAUGCGCAGAUAUCAGGAGGAACCCCGGUGGCGAAGGCGGGUCUCUGGGCCGUUACUGACGCUGAGGAGCGAAAGCGUGGGGAGCGAACAGG
This 422-nucleotide ribosomal RNA is filed under the name Verrucomicrobiota bacterium. RNAcentral's name for it is "Verrucomicrobia bacterium partial 16S ribosomal RNA". It matches the Rfam family "Bacterial small subunit ribosomal RNA", at positions 355 to 776 of the family's 1533-position model. Lineage: Bacteria; Pseudomonadati; Verrucomicrobiota. The record is from RNAcentral.